Molecule: non-coding RNA, 73 nt
Organism: Danio rerio (zebrafish)
Lineage: Eukaryota; Metazoa; Chordata; Actinopteri; Cypriniformes; Danionidae
Source: Rfam
GCCUUCUUGACGCAGUAGGCAGCGCAUCAGUCUCAUAAUCUGAAGGUCGUGAGAUCGAGCCUCACAUGGGGCA